RNAcentral lists this ribosomal RNA (407 nucleotides) under uncultured bacterium. RNAcentral's name for it is "partial 16S ribosomal RNA". It matches the Rfam family "Bacterial small subunit ribosomal RNA", at positions 28 to 526 of the family's 1533-position model. The record is from RNAcentral.
GACGAACGCUGGCGGCGUGCCUAAUACAUGCAAGUAGAACGCAGUUGCGAACGGGAGAAUACUGCGUAGGUAACUGCCUGGUAGCGGGGGACAACUACUGGUAACGAUAGCUAAUACCGCAUACUACCAGAUGGACCUGCGUUGUAUUAGCUAGUUGGUGAGGUAACGGGUCACCAAGGCAACGAUACAUAGCCGGCCCUGGGGGGUGGACGGGCACAAUGGGACUGGGGCAAGGGCCAGACUCCUACGGGGGGGAGCAGUAGGGGAUCUUCGGCAAAGGGGGGAACCCUGACCGAGCAACGCCGCGGGAGUGAAGGAAGUUUUCGGAUCGUAAAGCUCUGUUGUUAAGGAAGCGUUACUUAACCAGAAAGGGACGGCUAACUACGUGCCAGCAGCCGCGGUAAUAC